GUUGCUGUUGUAAAUAAUCAACUUUACUCCGCUGAUCAAGCAACAAAUGAGGUAAAGAAAUAUGACAAGAUCAAUAAUUCAUGGAGUGUGGUGAAGCAGUUGCCAGUGAGAGCUGACUCUUCUCAUGGUUGGGGAUUAGCAUUUAAAGCAUGUGGUAACAGCUUAUUAGUGAUUGGAGGGCAUAGAGGUCCUGAAGGUGAAGUUAUUGUGUUGCAUUCUUGGGAUCCGCAGGAUAGAAGUAUGGACGGGCCACAAUGGAAUGUUCUUGCUGUCAAAGAGCAAGCCGGUGCUUUUGUGUACAACUGUGCAGUAAUGGGAUGCUAAUGUUUGGGCACAUACUUGUCUUUGGUGCAAACUUU
RNAcentral lists this unclassified non-coding RNA (359 nucleotides) under Hevea brasiliensis (rubber tree). Lineage: Eukaryota; Viridiplantae; Streptophyta; Magnoliopsida; Malpighiales; Euphorbiaceae. The record is from RNAcentral.